Molecule: ribosomal RNA, 253 nt
Filed under: uncultured bacterium
Lineage: Bacteria
Description: partial 16S ribosomal RNA
Rfam family: Bacterial small subunit ribosomal RNA
Source: RNAcentral
UACAGAGGGUGCGAGCGUUAAUCGGAAUUACUGGGCGUAAAGGGCGCGUAGGCGGUUAAAUAAGUUAGAUGUGAAAUCUCCGAGCUUAACUUGGGAACUGCAUAUAAUACUGUUUAGCUAGAGUAGAAUAGAGGGGAGUGGAAUUUCCGGUGUAGCGGUGAAAUGCGUAGAUAUCGGAAAGAACACCAGUGGCGAAGGCGGCUUCCUGGAUUCAUACUGACGCUGAGGAGCGAAAGCAUGGGGAGCAAACAGG